CUGGAGUUAAAUUUUUAGAAAGUCCGCCAUUACACAACUCUGCCGAGCAGCACAUGAGAACUGGAGUUAUGUUCUUCUUUGUGAGAAGUGGUAGGCCUACUUGAUCAGAUGGAGAAACCUGCUGUUCACAUUUCAAAUAGGCUAACUUACACAACGAGGCCACGAUGCUGAUAAAAGUGCAAUUUGGAGGCAAGAAAAAAUAUAUUAAACUGGAAGAAGAUUGUUUCUUGGAUUUUUUCAGUGCGGUCCAGCACAAGUUUGUGAUACCAGAGGAUACAGCAUCGAAAGUCACAGAUGACCAUGGCAUAGAGGUGGAUGAGGAUGUAUUUCAAGAACUUGCAACAACCAAAGAAACAUGUCAUCCAUACUAAUGAUGAUUUGACUGUCCUGCAGCAAGGGGCUGUUAAAGUGCCCUCCUCCCCAAGUAUGACAGAUACAUUGUCUGUGUCAAGCAGUUUGAGCAGCAGUGAUUCUGGAUCUCAAAUUAUUCAACCUUUAAUGGGCAGUGUCCAAAAAAAUAAAAUCGAGCAAAUUCUAACUUCAAAGCCAGCAGAGUUGACUGUGAUUGAGGAGUAUGACAAGAUAUUUUUUUACUGCUUUUGAUUCCUGUGAAGUUAAUUUUAUAUAAUGUAAUGUGUUGAUUGUCUCAUGCAAUUUUACUAAGUCAUUGGUUUUAGUUGGCACUAGCUGCUAACAUAUAUUAAUUGUAAAUGUUUUGCUGUUAGAUUUAAUGCUUUGAUGACAAUUAAUUUCAAAGUGUGUACAUCGAUGGAAAUUCUAAAUCUAAUGUGUGGAUUUGCAUGAAUAAAAGCAGUAAGUAAA
Danio rerio (zebrafish) is the source of this 822-nucleotide non-coding RNA. The record is from Ensembl. Lineage: Eukaryota; Metazoa; Chordata; Actinopteri; Cypriniformes; Danionidae.